GAUGAACGCUGGCGGCGUGCCUAAUACAUGCAAGUCGAGCGAACGGACGAGAAGCUUGCUUCUCUGAUGUUAGCGGCGGACGGGUGAGUAACACGUGGAUAACCUACCUAUAAGACUGGGAUAACUUCGGGAAACCGUAGCUAAUACCGGCUAAUAUUUUGAACCGCAUGAUUCAAAGGAGAAUGCGGGCUUGCUCGCUCCUAUUAGUCGAUGCUGCAUUAGCUAGUUGGCUAGGUAAGGGCUCACCAAGGCAACGAUGCGUAGCCGACCUGAGAGGGUGAUCGGCCACACUGGAACUGAGACACGGUCCAGACUCCUACGGGAGGCAGCAGUAGGGAAUCUUCCGCAAAGGGCGAAAGCCUGACGGAGCAACGCCGCGUGAGUGAUGAAGGUCUUCGGAUCGUAAAACUCUGUUAUUAGGGAAGAACAUAUGUGUAAGUAACUGUGCACAUCUUGACGGUACCUAAUCAGAAAGCCACGGCUAACUACGUG
Molecule: ribosomal RNA, 492 nt
Filed under: uncultured bacterium
Lineage: Bacteria
Description: partial 16S ribosomal RNA
Rfam family: Bacterial small subunit ribosomal RNA
Source: RNAcentral